UACGUGAGGGCGCAAGCGUUGUCCGGAAUUAUUGGGCGUAAAGAGCUCGUAGGCGGCCUGUUACGUCUGCUGUGAAAUCCCGGGGCUUAACCCCGGGCGUGCAGUGGAUACGGGCAGGCUGGAGGCAGGCAGGGGAGAACGGAAUUCCCGGUGUAGCGGUGAAAUGCGCAGAUAUCGGGAGGAACACCGGUGGCGAAGGCGGUUCUCUGGGCCUGUACUGACGCUGAGGAGCGAAAGCGUGGGGAGCGAACAGG
RNAcentral lists this ribosomal RNA (254 nucleotides) under uncultured bacterium. RNAcentral's name for it is "partial 16S ribosomal RNA". It matches the Rfam family "Bacterial small subunit ribosomal RNA", at positions 524 to 776 of the family's 1533-position model. The record is from RNAcentral.